CCUACGGGAGGCAGCAGUGGGGAAUAUUGGGCAAUGGAGGAAACUCUGACCCAGCGACGCCGCGUGCGGGAUGAAGGCCUUCGGGUUGUAAACCGCUUUCAGCAGGGAAGAAGCGAAAGUGACGGUACCUGCAGAAGAAGCACCGGCUAACUAUGUGCCAGCAGCCGCGGUAAUACAUAGGGUGCAAGCGUUGUCCGGAAUUAUUGGGCGUAAAGAGCUCGUAGGUGGUUCGUCACGUCGGAUGUGAAAAUCUGGGGCUUAACCCCAGACCUGCAUUCGAUACGGGCGAGCUUGAGUAUGGUAGGGGAGUCUGGAAUUCCUGGUGUAGCGGUGGAAUGCGCAGAUAUCAGGAGGAACACCAAUGGCGAAGGCAGGACUCUGGGCCAUUACUGACACUGAGGAGCGAAAGCGUGGGGAGCGAACAGGAUUAGAUACCCUGGUAGUCCACGCCGUAAACGGUGGGCACUAGUUGUGGGGACCUUCCACGGUCUCUGCGACGCNGCUACGCAUAGUGCCCGCCGUCGGGAGGUACGAGUCGCGAAGAAUUAAACUACAAUAGAAGUUAGUACGGCGUGAGACGUCGCCGACGGACGACCGACGAGGGAGGAGG
This 610-nucleotide ribosomal RNA is filed under the name uncultured bacterium. RNAcentral describes it as "bacterial SSU rRNA". The stretch from base 1 to 520 matches the Rfam family "Bacterial small subunit ribosomal RNA", at positions 338 to 873 of the family's 1533-position model. The record is from RNAcentral.